This 460-nucleotide ribosomal RNA is filed under the name uncultured bacterium. RNAcentral describes it as "partial 16S ribosomal RNA". It matches the Rfam family "Bacterial small subunit ribosomal RNA", at positions 338 to 795 of the family's 1533-position model. The record is from RNAcentral.
CCUACGGGGGGCAGCAGUGAGGAAUAUUGGUCAAUGGGCGGAAGUCUGAACCAGCCAAGUAGCGUGAAGGAUGACUGCCCUACGGGUUGUAAACUGCUUUUAUACGGGCAUAACGCGCCUCACGUGUUGGGUUUUGCAUGUACCUUAUGAAUAAGGAUCGGCUAACUCCGUGCCAGCAGCCGCGGUAAUACGGAGGAUCCGGGCGUUAUCCGGAUUUAUUGGGUUUAAAGGGAGCGUCGGUGGCGUGUCAAGCAUGGUGUGAAAGGUUGGGGCUCAACCGUACACUUGCAGUGGAUACUGGCAGCCUUGAGUACAGUGAAGGCAGGCGGAAUUCGUCGUGUAGCGGUGAAAUGCUUAGAUAUCACGAAGAACCCCGAUUGCGAAGGCAGCUUACUAAACUGGAACUGACACUGAUGCUCGAAAGUGCGGGUAUCAAACAGGAUUAGAUACCCCAGUAGUC